Long non-coding RNA from Capra hircus (goat), 1937 nucleotides. RefSeq lists it as uncharacterized. The transcript is spliced from 3 exons. NCBI's taxonomy places the organism in Eukaryota, Metazoa, Chordata, Mammalia, Artiodactyla, Bovidae. The record is from RefSeq and is a predicted model, not a curated record.
UGGAGAGGGGGCACGGGCAGGGGCGUCUCUGGGCAUCCCCAGGGCACAGCACCAGCCCGGGGCCCUCAGGCUGCUGGGCUCAGGCCCCGCCGUCUCUCGGAGGCCUGCCCCAGGCCCUCCAGGUGCUCACUGUGUCAGGCCGCGCUCCUGGGCCCUCACGGCAGUUCUUACCGAGGCCUGGGCCUCUCCUCCGUCCAGAAGGCCCUGCCCAUGAAGCGCUGUCUCAGCCCCAGGCCCGCCCCGCCCCUGCACACGGAGCUCCCUCCAGCCCUCCUGCCGGCGCCUCGACUCAGUCCCCUCCGCAGCCUCCCCCGGCCUCAUCCCUCCUGAGCCGUCGCCUGCAGCCGGGCUGCCUCGUGAGCUGCUCUGGGAGUCUCCCUUGAGGGGCCGAGCCAGCCCGGGGUGAAGGUUCACCAGCUCCUCACGGCCUGUCUGUCUGCUGACUUGGGCCUGGGGACCAACAGUGAAACCCUCCCACCGAACCCCUGGAGAUGGGAGCCGGGGCCACGGGGAGCCGGCUGCUCUACCCACUCUGAUUCCUGCCGUUUUCUGGGCAGAGUGGGUCAGCGGUGCGGUGAGGGCGGGUCCAGGGCUCCCAACGCUGGGUGGCUCCACUUCUCAAUAAGAAGCCACAGACCUCAGGGCCAGCUAGCCAAGCUUUCCUGGGAGUUGCACCUGCUCUCAGGCCGUGAGCCCACCCGGCUCGCCAUCCAUCCAGCUGGGCUGCGCACCCCGUUGUGCCCCUCGCCCCCACGCCAGUGCCCUUCUGCCUCCAGGCCUCGGCUUGAGCUGUCCUCGGGAUGUGGUGCUUUUCCUUCUUGCCAGGCUUUGCCUCUCUACUGAGUCGAUGCAACACACUUCCUCCAGGAAGUCCUCCUAGAUUUCCAUCCGACUCUGAGUCUCUGAGUGCACGAAGUACCAGACCCAGACACCCUCGGUUCUCACAGGCUGGCAGGAGGGAGGCCCUAGCCGGAGCAGAGCAGGGAGGGACCGGGUGGAGCUCCGUUGUCUGCUGUGCUGGCCUGGAGCCUGUCCGCUGCUGCCGGGCUGGAGGACACUGCUGCCUGUGUUCACUCAGCUGACAGGUUGAGGUGGGGGCAGGGCUGGGCACAGACAGUAAUUAGCCUUCGUCCACAGGUCCAUUUGGGAUGCUGAGUGGUGGACUUCAGGCCAGCCUGGAGAGCUCUGAGAAAGGGCUCCACGCGAUCCCAGGCAGACGGGACCCGUCAUGGUCCAUCUCUCCCUGGCGUGACCUGACCGGCAUGCUGGAUCUGACUGUCCCAGCCGCUCCGAGUCCGGGAGUCAGAGCUAGAAGGGCAGUGAGGCGCGUGGGGCACGGCCGGUGGUCACUCACCUCCCUGCGGUCCAGGCCUCACCUCACACAUCUGACUGGGGCGGGUGGGACUCCCGGAGGCGCUCCUUCCAGCUGUGAGGCCAUGUGUGAGUCCAGCCUCUCUGUCUGAAGUUGCUGCUGCUUGCCUGUGAGCCAGCCCUCCUCUUUUGAGGUGGCGCUGGGACGAGGGCUAUUGUCGGGCUCACCUGCGGCUUCAGCUUUGCGACAGAACCCGGUGGCAUCCUCCUGAGUGGCUGGGCACCCCUUUCCCUCCACGGCCCUCAGCACCCCCCCAGCAGGCGGUGAGCUGCCAGCUUCAGGACGUCACAGCAGGACAGGCUGGGACCUGCAGGGCAAAACAGCUGGGGAAUUUACAUAAGAGUCCAACAGAGUGUCACUGACGAGGUCAGCCAUGUGGCCAAGAUGGGACCUCGCGUCCAGACGCUCCCAGGACCGCCCGUCCUCUGGCGGCGGCAGCCAGGGCCGGCCCCGCGCUCGAGCACACCCCUCCUGCCUGCAGCGCCGCCUGCAGCUCCCUGCGCUCGCACACACGUCGCUUGUGCUUCUACCGUGUCCGACUCUUUGUGGCCCCGUGAACUGUAGC